RNAcentral lists this ribosomal RNA (271 nucleotides) under uncultured Leptolinea sp. Its description in RNAcentral is "partial 16S ribosomal RNA". It matches the Rfam family "Bacterial small subunit ribosomal RNA", at positions 1099 to 1382 of the family's 1533-position model. Lineage: Bacteria; Bacillati; Chloroflexota; Anaerolineae; Anaerolineales; Anaerolineaceae. The record is from RNAcentral.
CAACCCUCGCUGUGUCGUUAUAUGUGUCUACACGGGACUGCCGGUCUUAAGCCGGAGGAAGGUGGGGAUGAUGUCAAGUCAGCAUGGCCUUUAUAUCCUGGGCUACACACACGCUACAAUGGCCAGCACAGUAGGUUGCUAAGCCGCGAGGUGGAGCCAAUCCAUAAAGCUGGUCUCAGUUCAGAUUGCAGGCUGCAACCCGCCUGCAUGAAGAUGGAGUUGCUAGUAACCGCAGGUCAGCUAUACUGCGGUGAAUACGUUCCCGGGGCUU